RNAcentral lists this ribosomal RNA (1023 nucleotides) under uncultured cyanobacterium. RNAcentral describes it as "bacterial SSU rRNA". It matches the Rfam family "Bacterial small subunit ribosomal RNA", at positions 377 to 1416 of the family's 1533-position model. Lineage: Bacteria; Bacillati; Cyanobacteriota. The record is from RNAcentral.
GAAAGCCUGACGGAGCAACGCCGCGUGAGGGAUGGAGGCCUUUGGGCUGUAAACCUCUUUUCUCAAGGAAGAAGAUCUGACGGUACUUGAGGAAUAAGCCACGGCUAAUUCCGUGCCAGCAGCCGCGGUAAUACGGGAGUGGCAAGCGUUAUCCGGAAUUAUUGGGCGUAAAGCGUCCGCAGGCGGCCGUUUAAGUCUGUUGUUAAAUCGUGGAGCUCAACUCCAUCACGGCAAUGGAAACUGUUCGGCUUGAGUAUGGUAGGGGCAGAGGGAAUUUCCGGUGUAGCGGUGAAAUGCGUAGAUAUCGGGAAGAACACCAGUGGCAAAAGCGCUCUGCUGGGCCAUUACUGACGCUCAUGGACGAAAGCCAGGGGAGCGAAAGGGAUUAGAUACCCCUGUAGUCCUGGCCGUAAACGAUGAACACUAGAUGUUGGGGGAAUCGACCCCCUCGGUGUCGUAGCUAACGCGUUAAGUGUUCCGCCUGGGGAGUACGCACGCAAGUGUGAAACUCAAAGGAAUUGACGGGGGCCCGCACAAGCGGUGGAGUAUGUGGUUUAAUUCGAUGCAACGCGAAGAACCUUACCAAGGCUUGACAUCCUGCGAAUCUCCAAGAAAUUGGAGAGUGCCUUCGGGAAUGCAGUGACAGGUGGUGCAUGGCUGUCGUCAGCUCGUGUCGUCAGAUGUUGGGUUAAGUCCCGCAACGAGCGCAACCCACGUUUUUAGUUGCCAGCAUUCAGUUGGGCACUCUAGAAAGACUGCCGGUGACAAACCGGAGGAAGGUGUGGACGACGUCAAGUCAUCAUGCCCCUUACGCCUUGGGCUACACACGUACUACAAUGCUGCGGACAAAGAGUAGCGAUCUUGCGAAAGUUAGCUAAUCUCAUAAACCGCGGCUCAGUUCAGAUCGUAGGCUGCAACUCGCCUACGUGAAGGAGGAAUCGCUAGUAAUCGCAGGUCAGCAUACUGCGGUGAAUACGUUCCCGGGCCUUGUACACACCGCCCGUCACACCAUGGAAGUUGGCC